CGGGGCGUGGCGCAGCCCGGUAGCGCGCACCGUUCGGGUCGGUGAGGUCCCCGGUUCGAAUCCGGGCGCCCCGACAA
RNAcentral lists this transfer RNA (77 nucleotides) under Anaerolineaceae bacterium. RNAcentral describes it as "tRNA-Pro". It matches the Rfam family "tRNA". Rfam says of the family: Transfer RNA (tRNA) molecules are approximately 80 nucleotides in length. The record is from RNAcentral. Lineage: Bacteria; Bacillati; Chloroflexota; Anaerolineae; Anaerolineales; Anaerolineaceae.